GCACUAAAAUGCAGAGAAGAAUUGGCUUAAGUUUAUACAAAUAAAAACUAAAUUCUCGUUAGUUAUAUGGCCUCCACGGAUAUGAAGGGCAAAGGUGGAAAAAUAUGUUUUAAGAACACUAAUCUAUAUGGCGUUGAAAAAGAUAUACCU
Non-coding RNA from Hydra vulgaris (swiftwater hydra), 150 nucleotides. The record is from RefSeq and is a predicted model, not a curated record. Lineage: Eukaryota; Metazoa; Cnidaria; Hydrozoa; Anthoathecata; Hydridae.